GUGAUACCGAAUCUUUAGAGGUUCAAGCUUCUGCAAAAAACAAGUAAUGACAAAUCUUAGGGCAUGUAAAUUUCAACUAAAGGCAAAUUUGCAAAAGAUUUAGAUUACUCAUUAUUACCUUGUCCUUCUCGCGCAUCAUGUAGGCCCGGUGUUGCACGUCGUAGACAUCGUCCAGAAGCCAAACCAUCCUUACAAUUUCAAACAGUAAACAUAUAAGAGUUCAUCUUCAUCUCAAAUAUCGGUAUACACUAAACAUAUAACAUGUGUUCAACUACAAGAAUCUCAACAUCUCCUUCUCACACAAUGAAUAUGUCAUAUGUGUUCAAAUAAACUAAAUAUCUAAUAUUUGAAAUAAACUCAACAUCUAAUAUUUGAAAUAAACUCAACAUCUAAUAUUUGAAAUAAACUCAACAUCUAAUAUAUAUCUAAACAAACAUCUCUACAAAAAUCAACAUCUCAUAGUUAUCUAUAAAAAUAGGCAUCUCAUAUAUAUCUAAAAAAACUAACAAUCUAGGGUUUCACUAACAAGAAUGAUAUAUUGUGAACUAAUCAAUAACACUACGGUACUACCAAUAUGACUACACAUCCUAAAUCGAGCAAAUCAAGCAAAUCAAAGGUUCCAUCAAAUCUCGGACAAAUCUUUAAAAUGGCAACAAAUUUACAGAGGAAAAGAAAGAGAACGGGAGAGUUUACCUAGUAGAAUGGAUUGGAGAUCGAAUCCACGGAUCAAAUCUUCAGAUCUGAGAGGGAUGUGGGGGGAUUAGAUGGGGGCGCCGCCGCUGCUCUCUGUCCAGAGAGCGGAGAGAUGAAGAACUACCUGGUCGGGCUGGGGCAGCCGCGCUUAAGUAACUGUGCAGCGCCUAAGGGCUAGGCACUGCACGUCACAGUGUGGCGCCUAGUACUUAGGCGUUGCACAGGUGCGUGUGGGGCCGCGCCUGGCCUCGGGCUGCCACGCUGACAGGAGGUGCGACGCCUAAUGGAAGGACGCUGCACAGUAGGGUGCGGCGCCUAGCUGUCGGGAGCCACUCGAAAGGGUCAGCAGAGCGAAAUUUUUUCGGAAGCAGGUCAGUUUAUGAUUUGAUUUGGGCCUCAGGUCAAAUAUGUGAUUUCUGCCUUUUUCCUAUCCUCUUCCCCUUUGCUCUCUUAGCCCUCAAGAAACCUAACGAAGCUGGCGGCUGAGAUGACUCGGCUGGUGCUCUGCUGGGCCGCUCCAAUGGCGACGUCGACCCUGUCGGCCGCUAUCUACCUUGCCGCCGCCGCUCCCACUGAUUUUGCUGCCUCUGCGACGCCUCCGUCCCUCCAAGGCGAUUGCAUCAUCUGAGGCGGGGUCGCGGCACCUUCCCAGAUGCGGCGGAGGCACCACAUCCCAUGGCGACGGCGGCCUGGAGCUCCUCCCACUCUAUUUCGUCCCCACGUUGAUGCAAGCCAUCUGCGGUGUGAUCCUUCCAAGGUGCACGGUCUUCUUGGUGGAUCCAGCUGAGGCGCGCGAUGGGAUCCCGUGCGAGGGGACGAGGCGAUCUAGCGGCGCGUGUUCAUCUCGGUGGAUCCAGUUGAAGUGCACGAGGGAGUCAUCCUAGGGGUUGGAAUUGGUGACUGAGGAGGAGGCGGCGCCGGCGAGGGUGCACAAGCCGUGCACAAGGCCACGACGACUCCACAAAGACUGUUGCGCUCUCCCUGACCAUCGAUCGCGUGCUCUCCGACCUCUCCUCAUCAUUGACGGGUGAAGAAAAUUUCUUCUAGAGGUGAGGCAGUGGGAAAUAAUCUUGAUGCAACAGCGAAAGUGCUACAGAUCCUAGCCUCCUCCCCUUGUGUAUGUUCUAGCAGAGACAGAUAGGAGAUUCAGAUAGGAGCGAUUCACAAAUUUCGUCUCCUCUGUUAAAUUUCGUUGGUCUCUUCUCUCCUAUACGCUAUCCGAUUUUCUUGAUUGUUGGCCAUAUAUUUGUGUACUCAAAAUGAUGUUGCCCAAUGUAUAUUUUCAGUAUAUGCUGCUGUCUAAUGCUUAUACAGCGGAGAGGAGGUGUCCGAGGAGCCGACCCCAAUGGCUCUGUCUACGCAGCCGUGGAUUGGAUGCACAAUUGUUUCACUUCGCAAACAACAGCCAUGUCAGGAAGCCAUGAUCUGGAGUGGUCAUCGCUCAAUAAAAAUGGAUGCAGCAAAACCCCCAUUGAAGAAACGUGCUAGAAGCCAGCUCCACAUUCGGCUAACCUGAACCUUCAUCGCUACCUAGGUAUGGCUGCCAAGUUUCCUUUAGUAAUGUAUAUGCAUCAUGUUCAGACAUGCCUGCAAGGCUCCAUCUAGGUAGAUGUUACGUACUCUAGCUUCCCACCACUAAUUUCAUUUAGUUUCUUGAUUGUAAGUUGAACAAACUGAAUCUACGUACAUAUGCAAAAAUAUUUCACUAUGCAAACUACAAUAUAUGGUCUGCACUUGCAAUAGUUUUACUGCACUUGGAAUACAAUGUCGUGAAGAAAAUUAUUGUGUUUGCCACAACCUUAGCCUGACAUACACAUUCUGAAAUGGUCGGCGUUCAAACAAAACAAAGGUUAGCAUCCUUCCUCGUUCAUCCCCGUUUUAGAAUGGUUUUGUACGAUGCAGAUUCAUUGAAUGGCCGAGUAUUAAUUUCAUUGGAUCUGUGGUGCGAUGUCUAGCUAGCAAUUGGAAAACCAAUUAGUUGAUGAAUUGAAGCAGUCUUGUUUGCAAGUGUACCACUUGUUGUGUUCUUAAAGAAAAGGACUUGGCUUCUCUAGCUUCGCAAGUCUUUAAUAAACAUGCAUAAUACAAGGAUUGGGCUCAUCGCUUUAUUGACAUGCAUGUCAUCAUUUGUGAGAAGUCAUUUUCAGUACCAUUGAUAUUGCUUACAAACAUGUUGACCAGGCGCAAACUGAAGCAGAUCCAUCCAAGAUGCUCAAAACUGUUUUAUUUUUGUGCUCUUGUGUUCUAUCUUCUUGAACAACCCAACCAACACAUUUGUAGUCUAGGCCCAGAAUAGGUGUUUACUUCAUUACUAACUCCAUUUAUUUUGACUUCCUCAUCGACAAUAAGUUGUAGUAAAAUACUGAAUCUGCCGACAUGCAUUCUAGAAUGGCCGUCUUCAAACAAAGGUGAGACUCAUUUACUCCCCUGGUUUCGGUUGUGAUUGUUCAAUCCCUUUCCAUUAUCUGUAGCCUGGGUUCGCUGCUAGACUACUUUUUACUAUUCCAAUUGCAAAAUAUAUGUCUCAACGGACUAUACUAACCGAGAAGGUUGAAAUCCCACGAGAAGACGACAUGCUAGCGGCCAGCUCUACCUUUUGCCAACGUGUGAAUCAAGGCUGCAUCGAUCGGCUAACUAAUGAGAUCAAUGAGUUUCUUCAUUAGGACCUCAGAUUGAUUCCCAAGUUUUCUCGUAGCUAGCAAGUCCCUCCAUCCGGGUUUAUUAGGCCGACCAAUAAAUUUAAGUAUGUCACAAAAAUUAUAUCAUCGGAAAGCUCUUUCAAAUACAAAUCCAACCAUGUACUUUUUGUACCAUAUAUUUUAUAUUUUACUGGGAAUAUGGAUGGUCAAAGUUUGGCUCAAAAUAGUGGGGGGCCUAAUAAACCUGGACGGAGGUACUAGCUAGCAAGUCUAAUUAGUGAGUAAUAUAUUCAGACCUGCAGUCUCCAUCUUUAUUAGUUUAUUACUCCCUCGGUCCGGAAAAGGUUGUCCCAAGCUUGUUCCUCAAAUGGUUGUAUCUAGCGCUAACUUGGUGCUAGAUACAUCCAUAUCAAGGACAAGUUUUUUCGGACAGAGGGAGUACUUAACAAUGCCCUCAAGACCUGCACAGAAAACAAGGUCAGAUCCGUGGAACACAUGAUACUAGCAAAAAUGCUCUGUAGGUAAUGUUGUUAUUAUUGUUUCUUUCAUCAACAUACACCAUGUUAUUUAGGGAGCAAUUAUAACUGUUGUGCGCUUCUCCUUGGCACACUACUUAUGUAGUUAUUUCCUCAAUUCAUUUUCCUUGCUAACAAGUAUUUUGUUUGUACUUCAGUGUAAGCAACUGUAAGUUGGUUAAGAUGUAACACAACUUGAACCAUUCUUUCAUAACAACCCACUGGCAUUUGAUAUUGAGUUUCAGAAUUUUUAUUAUUAUUGUAGAUCAGAUGGAAAUCUACAACCUCAAAUCUGAGCAAGUACACAUUCAGUCAUCUAUCCUGACGCAAUGCAGAAUAUUUGUCCCUUAGACCAUAAUGUAUACUUGUAUUACUGGCCAGAACGCAUUGAGAUUUUUUAAGAUAAUAAAUAUCGCCCCAAAGUUCUGAAAUAUUUGUACUGCUUUUUUUCUCUCUCUCAUGUCUUUCCUCGAUACCUUUUUAGUUAUCAUGAUGUGAGUCUUUGCGGGAGUCUUUUUAGGAGACAAAAAGAGGUCAUGUUCCAUAUCAAUCAUAAUUUAUAUCUCCGCGCUUAAUACCACAACUCAAACAUUAGACCUAAGGAGAAAACUCAAAAUACUACUCCCUCCGUCCCAAAAUAAAUGUCUCAACUAUGUACUAACUUUAGUACAAAGUUCUCAACUUUGUACUAACUUUAGUACAAAGUUGUACUAAAGUUGAGACACUUAUUUUGAGACGGAGGGACUACUUUUUUGCAGAUUAAUCGGACUGGAGUUCUCUUGAGUUACACAGCAUUAUAUUCUUGAUUUCUCUCUUUAGUUACAUCCCAUCAUAUUCUAUAAAAUGGAGAGACAAGUACAGUAUAUAAAAGCACUGCAAACAAAUGUAUACAAGUUACUUCAUAUCUCUAACAACUCUUUUAAGUCAAAAUAGACGGGCGCAACAACACGCGCCAUCAACGAUCUAGUCCUUGCUUAAUACACUGUUGCAUAAGAGAACACUAAUCCCCUCACAGAUUUCUACCUUGACAUUGGCAUCGACGAAUAGCUUGAAGGUCCCAUAUGACAAUCUGGUGCCUCAGGAGGCUACCAUAAGCUAGAUUUGCAUGCUUUAGAUGUCGGGACUCAACUGCUACAAUCUCUAGAUGUUCGUUCAGGUGAUCAUUCGAAGGGCCAAAUCAGAACUUCUCCUUCGUUCGCUAGUGGCGACUGGAGUCCAUCUCUGGUCGGCGAAGAGGGUGUGUAACAGUCGCGUGUGCAACUGUCUUGGUUGCAUGGCAUCCAUGAAAAGCACUUCUCUACACGUGGCUCCUCCCUUAGGCGGACCCUUGAUGAAUUCUUUUUGAAUGUCGACGUAAUCCACCUCCAUCCCUCUCAUACUUUGCAAAACAUAUACAUAUACACACAGAAACACACCUUUUGUAUUAUCACGCAUAACAAAUAUAUAAGGAACAUAUUUUGUA
Long non-coding RNA from Triticum aestivum (bread wheat), 5309 nucleotides. RefSeq lists it as uncharacterized. Lineage: Eukaryota; Viridiplantae; Streptophyta; Magnoliopsida; Poales; Poaceae. The record is from RefSeq and is a predicted model, not a curated record. The transcript is spliced from 4 exons.